AGCUGGGUGGCUGAUAAAAGUAUUAAAUUGUAAAUUUAAUUAUAGGGCUCUUCCUCCUCGCUA
RNAcentral lists this transfer RNA (63 nucleotides) under Proasellus cavaticus. RNAcentral describes it as "transfert RNA-Y(TAC)". Lineage: Eukaryota; Metazoa; Arthropoda; Malacostraca; Isopoda; Asellidae. The record is from RNAcentral.